Molecule: ribosomal RNA, 411 nt
Filed under: Triticum aestivum (bread wheat)
Lineage: Eukaryota; Viridiplantae; Streptophyta; Magnoliopsida; Poales; Poaceae
Description: partial small subunit ribosomal RNA
Source: RNAcentral
AUGGGUACACUUGGUAUGCUAAGAUGUCGAAGAAUCAUUCAGUACAUCAUCUCAAUAUGGAAUGUCAUCUUAAAAAAUGGAUCUAUAUCUUUUUUGGACGACAAUAUAUGGGAACUAGAACAAGCGCCUGAAGCGAGCAGCCGGGCUAGACUGAAGCAACAAUGCAGGGCACGAGGCACUGGUGAAGAUGUGCACAGACGAGCACAUGCAGCAGUGGAAGGUGCUCCAUGGCGGCCACCGUGUCAUCGGGUACAUCGGAUGAUUCCCAGGGCUCCCAAGCUGCCGAGGCUGGUGGAGGACAUUGUGGAGAGUGUCGCCAAAUGUGGGUCUGUCCGGCUGUCACUACUGCUGGAUUGCGGUGCUGGUACACGGAGAUCAACGGGAAGGUGGCAAUCGCCGGGACCCACUUGA